This 600-nucleotide ribosomal RNA is filed under the name Kocuria sp. 1. Its description in RNAcentral is "partial 16S ribosomal RNA". It matches the Rfam family "Bacterial small subunit ribosomal RNA", at positions 68 to 672 of the family's 1533-position model. Lineage: Bacteria; Bacillati; Actinomycetota; Actinomycetes; Micrococcales; Micrococcaceae. The record is from RNAcentral.
UGANCUUGGUGCUUGCACUGGGAUGGAUGAGUGGCGAACGGGUGAGUAAUACGUUCUUUAACCUGCCCUNGAACUCUGGGNAUAAGCCUGGGNAAACUGGUNNCUAAUACUGGAUACNACAUCGUGCCGCAUGGUGUGGUGUGGAAAGGGUUUUACUGGUUUUGGAUGGGCUCACGGCCUAUCAGUUUGCNGGUGGGGUAAUGGCUCACCAAGGCGACGACGGGUAGCCGGCCUGAGAGGGUGACCGGCCACACUGGGACUGAGACACGGCCCAGACUCCUACGGGAGGCAGCAGUGGGGAAUAUUGCACAAUGGGCGGAAGCCUGAUGCAGCGACGCCGCGUGAGGGAUGACGGCCUUCGGGUUGUAAACCUCUUUCAGCACGGAAGAAGCGAGAGUGACGGUACGUGCAGAAGAAGCGCCGGCUAACUACGUGCCAGCAGCCGCGGUAAUACGUAGGGCGCAAGCGUUGUCCGGAAUUAUUGGGCGUAAAGAGCUCGUAGGCGGUUUGUCGCGUCUGCUGUGAAAGCCCGGGGCUUAACCCCGGGUGUGCAGNGGGUACGGGNAGACUUGAGUGNANNANGGGAGACUGGAACUCCUG